This 1431-nucleotide ribosomal RNA is filed under the name uncultured organism. Its description in RNAcentral is "partial small subunit ribosomal RNA". It matches the Rfam family "Bacterial small subunit ribosomal RNA". The record is from RNAcentral.
CUUAACACAUGCAAGUCGAACGGAAAGGCCCUGCUUUUGUGGGGUGCUCGAGUGGCGAACGGGUGAGUAACACGUGAGUAACCUGCCCUUGACUUUGGGAUAACUUCAGGAAACUGGGGCUAAUACCGGAUAGGAGCUCCUGCUGCAUGGUGGGGGUUGGAAAGUUUCGGCGGUUGGGGAUGGACUCGCGGCUUAUCAGCUUGUUGGUGGGGUAGUGGCUUACCAAGGCUUUGACGGGUAGCCGGCCUGAGAGGGUGACCGGCCACAUUGGGACUGAGAUACGGCCCAGACUCCUACGGGAGGCAGCAGUGGGGAAUAUUGCACAAUGGGCGGAAGCCUGAUGCAGCAACGCCGCGUGCGGGAUGACGGCCUUCGGGUUGUAAACCGCUUUCGCCUGUGACGAAGCGUGAGUGACGGUAAUGGGUAAAGAAGCACCGGCUAACUACGUGCCAGCAGCCGCGGUGAUACGUAGGGUGCGAGCGUUGUCCGGAUUUAUUGGGCGUAAAGGGCUCGUAGGUGGUUGAUCGCGUCGGAAGUGUAAUCUUGGGGCUUAACCCUGAGCGUGCUUUCGAUACGGGUUGACUUGAGGAAGGUAGGGGAGAAUGGAAUUCCUGGUGGAGCGGUGGAAUGCGCAGAUAUCAGGAGGAACACCAGUGGCGAAGGCGGUUCUCUGGGCCUUUCCUGACGCUGAGGAGCGAAAGCGUGGGGAGCGAACAGGCUUAGAUACCCUGGUAGUCCACGCUGUAAACGGUGGGUACUAGGUGUGGGGUCCAUUCCACGGGUUCCGUGCCGUAGCUAACGCUUUAAGUACCCCGCCUGGGGAGUACGGCCGCAAGGCUAAAACUCAAAGGAAUUGACGGGGCCCCGCACAAGCGGCGGAGCAUGCGGAUUAAUUCGAUGCAACGCGUAGAACCUUACCUGGGUUUGACAUGGAUCGGGAGUGCUCAGAGAUGGGUGUGCCUCUUUUGGGGUCGGUUCACAGGUGGUGCAUGGCUGUCGUCAGCUCGUGUCGUGAGAUGUUGGGUUAAGUCCCGCAACGAGCGCAACCCUUGUUCACUGUUGCCAGCACGUUAUGGUGGGGACUCAGUGGAGACCGCCGGGGUCAACUCGGAGGAAGGUGGGGAUGACGUCAAGUCAUCAUGCCCCUUAUGUCCAGGGCUUCACGCAUGCUACAAUGGCUGGUACAGAGAGUGGCGAGCCUGUGAGGGUGAGCGAAUCUCGGAAAGCCGGUCUCAGUUCGGAUUGGGGUCUGCAACUCGACCUCAUGAAGUCGGAGUCGCUAGUAAUCGCAGAUCAGCAACGCUGCGGUGAAUACGUUCCCGGGGCUUGUACACACCGCCCGUCAAGUCAUGAAAGUUGGUAACACCCGAAGCCGGUGGCCUAACCGUUGUGGGGGAGCCGUCGAAGGUGGGACUGGUGAUUAGGACUAAA